Molecule: ribosomal RNA, 253 nt
Filed under: uncultured bacterium
Lineage: Bacteria
Description: partial 16S ribosomal RNA
Rfam family: Bacterial small subunit ribosomal RNA
Source: RNAcentral
UACGUAGGGGGCAAGCGUUGUCCGGAUUUAUUGGGCGUAAAGAGCGUGUAGGCGGCCAGGUAGGUCAGCUGUGAAAACUCGAGGCUCAACCUCGAGACGUCGGUUGAAACCACCUGGCUAGAGUCCGGAAGAGGAGAGUGGAAUUCCUGGUGUAGCGGUGAAAUGCGCAGAUAUCAGGAAGAACACCCGUGGCGAAGGCGGCUCACUGGCCCGAUACUGACGCUGAGGCACGAAAGCGUGGGGAGCAAACAGG